UUUCCGGUUGAUCCUGCCGGACCUCACUGCUAUCGGGGUGGGACUUAGACAUGCGAGUCGAACGCUUCGCAGCCAUGAGUGAAGCGUGGCGAACGGCUCAGUAACACGUGGCUAACCUACCCUUGAGACGGAGACAACCCCGGGAAACUGGGGCUAAUCCCAGAUAGACGAGAACUCCUGGAAUGGGUUUUCGUCCAAAAGGCGUUAGGGUCAUGCUCCUUAACGUCGCUCAAGGAUGGGGCCGCGGCCGAUCAGGCUGUUGGUGAGGCAACGGCUCACCAAACCUAUAACCGGUACGGGCCGUGGGAGCGGGAGCCCGGAGAUGGGAACUGAGACAAGGUCCCAGGCCCUACGGGGCGCAGCAGUUACGAAAACUUGUCACUGCACGAAAGUGCGAACGGGCUACCCCGAGUGCCGUCCGCUGAGGAUGGCUUUUCUCUGCUGUAAGAAGGCGGAGGAAUAAGGAGAGGGCAAGUCUGGUGUCAGCCGCCGCGGUAAUACCAGCUCUCCGAGUGGUGGGGAUGUUUAUUGGGCCUAAAGCGUCCGUAGCUGGCCUUUCAAGUCUCUCGUUAAAUCCAGCGAUUCAAUCGUUGGACUGCGGGAGAUACUGUUAGGCUAGGGGGCGGGAGAAGCCGACGGUAUUUUCGGGGUAGGGGUAAAAUCCUAUAAUCCCGGGAAGACCACCAGUGGCGAAGGCGGUCGGCUAGCACGCGCUCGACGGUGAGGGACGAAAGCUGGGGGAGCGAACCGGAUUAGAUACCCGGGUAGUCCCAGCUGUAAACGAUGCGGGCUAGGUGUUGAAGCGGCUACGAGCCGCUUCAGUGCCGCAGGGAAGCCAUUAAGCUCGCCGCCUGGGGAGUACGGCCGCAAGGCUGAAACUUAAAGGAAUUGGCGGGGGAGCACCACAAGGGGUGAAGCUUGCGGUUUAAUUGGAGUCAACGCCGGA
RNAcentral lists this ribosomal RNA (946 nucleotides) under uncultured archaeon. Its description in RNAcentral is "bacterial SSU rRNA". It matches the Rfam family "Archaeal small subunit ribosomal RNA", at positions 1 to 922 of the family's 1478-position model. The record is from RNAcentral.